RNAcentral lists this long non-coding RNA (14816 nucleotides) under Populus trichocarpa (black cottonwood). Its description in RNAcentral is "long non-coding RNA (PTRI_LNC001714)". The record is from RNAcentral. Lineage: Eukaryota; Viridiplantae; Streptophyta; Magnoliopsida; Malpighiales; Salicaceae.
ACAGGGUAUUCAACUAAGAUUAAUGACCAUAAGAUAUACUUGAAAGUUCUGGCUGUCAAUGCUUGCUUUCUAAUAAAUGUCUGAUACAGAAAGAUUUUUGGAUUCAUGCAGGCGGUUUCACAUUGCCAGUCAAAAGUGGCGAGACCUACAUGCUACGGUUGAUCAAUGCAGCACUCAAUGAAGAGCUCUUCUUCAAAAUUGCAGGGCAUAAGCUUACAGUCGUCGAAGUUGAUGCCACCUAUGUUAAACCAUUCAAAACCGAUACAGUCCUAAUUGCCCCAGGCCAGACCACCAAUGUCCUUGUCACAACUAACAAAAAUACAGGCAAGUACUUGGUUGCUGCCUCCCCGUUCAUGGAUUCUCCAAUUGCUGUGGACAACAUGACAGCAACAGCCACUUUGCAGUAUUCAGGAGCACUUGCUAACUCCCCUACAACUCUCACCACCCCACCUCCAAAGAAUGCCACUGCAGUUGCCAACCAAUUUACCAACUCUCUACGCAGCCUUAACUCAAGAAGAUUUCCUGCCAAAGUCCCAUUGAACGUUGAUCACAACCUUUUCUUUACAGUUAGUCUAGGAGUUAACCCAUGUCCAAGUUGCAAAGCUGGUAAUGGCAGCAGGGUUGUUGCUAGUAUUAACAAUGUCACAUUUGUGAUGCCAACCACUGCCCUGCUCCAAGCACAUUUCCUCAACAUCAGCGGUGUGUUCACCACUGAUUUUCCUGCAAAGCCACCGCAUGUUUUCAAUUACACUGGCACUCCACCUACAAAUUUACAGACCAAAAGUGGAACUAAAGUUUAUAGGCUGAGCUACAACUCGACAGUCCAACUUGUUAUGCAAGAUACUGGUAUCAUAUCCCCUGAGAACCAUCCGAUCCAUUUACAUGGAUUCAAUUUCUUUGCUGUCGGUAGGGGAGUAGGGAAUUACAAUCCGAAGACUGAUACUAAGAAGUUUAACCUCGUUGAUCCUGUUGAACGGAACACAAUUGGAGUACCUUCUGGUGGAUGGGUGGCGAUAAGAUUUCGCGCCGAUAAUCCAGGUAAUUGCUGUUUAAUGUUUUCGUUUGGAAGUACAGAGCUUGGCAUUUUCAAGUUUGUUUAAUUUCAUGUUCUCUGAUUUUCUUCUUCGCAUCUCUUGUAGGAGUUUGGUUCAUGCAUUGCCAUCUAGAGGUGCACACUACAUGGGGACUUAAGAUGGCGUUCUUGGUAGACAAUGGCAAAGGCCCUAAGGAGUCUCUUCUACCGCCGCCAAGCGACCUUCCAAAAUGUUGAAGUCAGAUCAAGAACUAUACUAACUCGAGGGAUAGAAGCCAUACUUUAUCAGGAAACUUGGUCCCGGUAGAAACAUUCUAUGCUCGAAGAGAGCAGAGUGUGUAUAUAUAUAAUUUGAGGGUUAAAGAUCCGAUUUGUUUCUUGAGUGAAUUGGAAGAUUUGCUCAAGCGAGUUUGCAUAAAAUUUUGUGAGCGGUAGAGCUGUUUCAAUUCAAAUGUUAUUUUUUCUUGAAUAAAUAUAUAUAUAUUGAAGAUUUGAUCACAAAGCCAUUCAUGAUCAAUAAAACUUGUAUGCUUCUAAAUAUGUUCAUGGGUCGGGUUGGAUAAGACCUAGAUCAGGCCCGAUUAACUUUUCUAAGUUAUAUUGACCCGUAUCUGGCCAGAAUCGAUCCUUGGGCUUUCAAGCCCUUUAAGAAAUAAAAAAUAAAAAAUAAAAGCAAAAUAAUAUGUAGCAAUAGAAAUUAGUUUUUUUUUUUUUGAGACAAGUAUCGAAAUUGUUAAAGAAUAAGGAAGCAAAGUUUUAGCACGGCGAAACAAAUAUUUAUAUAACGCGGCAAUGAUUAGAAAUUCUAGCAAUGAUUGCAUUUCUUAGACCCAAAAGCUGUAUGUUUUUAAAUAUUUUUGAUAUGGUAAAGUAAGAAAUUAUUAUUUUAAUAUAUUUUAAAAUAAAAAAUUUUAAAAAUUAAUUUUUAUCACAAUCUCAAAUAAACAUUAGGUGAAAAGAAAAAAGAAAAGGAACAAUACAAACUGAAGCAUGGAGUUAGAACUUAAUUUUGUAGUUUAUUAAAAUAAAUAAAUUAAUUAUGGUUUUAACUAUAUAUUUACUCUUUUUGUUUUUAAAACCAUUUAUAACUUAAUAUUUUUCAUCCCUUUUAUGUUGUUUUUUCAAUAUAUUUAUUUUUUGUUUUAAAAACAGAAAAAAGAAAAGAAAAAGAAAAAGAUAAAUUAAGAAGAUUGAUAAAAUAGAAGAUACCUUUAUUUUUUUUCCCAAUAUGCUACGGCUAAAACUGGUUAGGAAAAUAGUGUAGCUGCAGAUGCAUUGGCACUGUUCACUAGAACAUUCUAAUGACAUCUUUGUCUUUUCCAUAAAAAAAACUUAUAACUAGUUUCUGGGAACAUGAAAGUCUUUUGACGAUGUGCAUUAGUCAUUCUUAAAUUAAUUAGGGGCAAUUAUGUCUUUUUCAAUUUAAAAAUACAGUGAAAAGACCGAAAUGCCCUUAAAAGCAAAAAAUUCAAUGCUAGCAUCAAGGGACAAUUUGAUACUUUUAAAAUUGUUUUUUUCUAUUAUUAUCAUGUAAGAUGAGGAGCAAUUUUGUAUUUGGAUAAAUAUAUAUAAAAAAUAAAAAACAUAGUGAAACGAUCAAAAUGUCCUUGGAAGUCUAAACAUAAAAAAAAAUGAUCUCAAGGGACUUUUUCCAUAGGUUUUUAUCUCAAAGCCUUCCCAAACUUCGAUUGAUAUUCAAUUUUAACUCUAUAAAAAAUAAGGUCUGUGAAAUCUUUUGGUAAAAUAUCAAUUCGAUCCAACGUUCAAAUUAAAAAUUAUGCUUGUUAGCGUAAAACUGUACAUUAGAAAAAAAAAGCCCAAAAUUACCUCUCAUUACCCAACCCUUUUAUGGACCACAUUAAUCAAGGCUUAGUCACCUUUUCUUGAAAAUUUAAAACUUGACUUGACCCAAAUAUCUUGAAUAAGCCCAUCGAAUAACUCUUCAAUCUUUUUGGUCGAAUGAUACAAGGUCAAAAUCUUUGGCUUCUCCUUCCUCAUUCUCAUCAACCAUCUCAUCAAUGAUCCUACACCUCACCAAACAUCACAUUCAUCCUCUCAAAUUGUUGUUCUAUAACCAGCAAUUUAAGAUGUCCUCCUUCUUCUUUUCAGAGGAUGCCCCGUCUUUGGAAGACAUUAUCAAAUUUAAAAUUUUACGUUAGUAAUAAAAAACAAUUAUCAUCACUCACUCCCUUAUGUGUUUACACUCUAUAAUCAACGGGUUGUAGUUGUUCAUCCAAUAGCUUCGAUUCUUUGGUUCAAGGUAAACACUAGAUCGAGUUUUUAUCUUCAAUUCGAUUUUAUCUUUUUUGGGUUGUAUUUUUUCUUGUUUAUGAGUUCACAUCACAAGAAACUAUUUUAUAAUAAACCUAAACCUAGGUUCGAGCCACAUCGUGUCGACACGUGCUUGCGUAUGGGUUUAAGUUCAAAACCCACUUUGCUUAUGUCAUUUUCCCUCUAAAAAAUUGGGUUCCUUUUGGUCUCAAUAUUAACUCUUCGCCUUCUCAUUAAAUAAGUCACAAGAAAAACUUAUUUCUUUCCAACACGGAUAGAGUUUUUAAAGGGUUUGGGUUUCACUAAAACAUGUCAAUCAAAGGUUCUUUGAGAAUAAUUUUUUAUUCAUCCAUAAUUUAAUUAAAUCAUAUUAGUGUUCUAUGUUAAAGAGCUUAUAUUGGAUAUUAAAUUCCAACAAAGUUUUAACCCCAAAAAUGAAUGGAUCCACUUUUAAUUUGGCCUCAAAUAUUUCCAUUAACCAUGUUCCAAGACAAAAUUUGCAACAAAAUGUCCCAUUAACAAAGCAGAAUGUUUUUGUUACAAUACUAAUGUCAGUAAAAAUGAGUAGAGAAUGUUGAUGAAUUUAGAUAUAACUAGUUUAUUUUCUACACUAUCAUUGUGGGUUGGAUGAAAUUUUUUUGGAACAUAAGAAAAUAAUAUAUAAACCAUAUGAAACUUUUCGGCAUUGUCAUUAAAUUAGGUGCAACAGUUCAAACUUGACAACUCUUAACAUGACUAUUUGUUUAGCUCAAGUUUUUAAUUAAAUCAUAUGAAAGUUGCUCUUAUGUGACAUUGUUUACUGGGUAGGUGCAAAGAAAAAAAAACACGUUAGGUUCAACCUAAUCAACCCACCAAACUCGUGAUCGAAGUUAUGAGCUUCACUAGGUCAAAUUAAUUUUUUUUAUUUUAUUAUAUAAUAAAAAUAUAAAUUUUUAUUUACCAUCAACACAAUACUAAAAAAUAAAAUUAAAAAGAAAAACUUCACAUUAAAAGAUAAUAUUGAAAGAAAAAAAUAAAAUAUGUAAAAAAUACUCUAAUGGUGUGCUAUGAUAAAGCCAAACACGCGGGCACGUGGGCUUGGGGAAGGCCUGCAGCUUGGGCUGUGCACAUCUUUUUUAUUUGCAAAAAAGAAGAAAAGCAACCUCUCAUCUAUCUUUUGAAAGAAUAUACUGCUAUCUGUAGCUAGGAAUCAAACCCACAACCUCCACACCUACCUCCUUGCUUACCACCACUUGAACUAUGACAAGAACUUAACCAAGCUAUUAAAAUAUAUCAACUUGAUUUUAAUAACUAAGCCAAAUCCAGCCAUUUAGUUGUUCCUUUUUACUAUUAGAUUUGAAAUCAAUGGUUUUAACAAACCAGCAUUUUAGACAUUCCCAAAACAGACGGAUGCGCAAAAGCAUUGAAUUGAAUUGAAAAUAUUGAUCGGAUCAUGCAUGGAUUUUCAUAUAAAAAAAACACAUCACCGUGGAAAGGACCUGGUGAGCACUCAUCAUUAGAAUUCAGAGCCGCAAGUAAUCCUGGGACAUCCUUUACAAGGACUACAAGUAAUGCCUUGAAAAAGAGAGUUCGGCCUACCAAACUUAACCCGUAUUGUUCUUAAAUCUACGAAGAGCACCAGGUCCUAAAAAAGAGUAGCAAAAUAAAAUAAAUUCUAAGGCAACUAAUUGAAAAUGGUGAUUAAUUAAGGUGACUUGUCCGUUGCUGAUCAAUUGACCACAUGUUCUUUUACUCUAUUUUUAUAUUGUUGUGAACCUACUUGAGUAAAUAGCAGGACAAGAGAAUGUUUUCAGGAUAAAUAUGUAGGAAGUGGGUGCCAAAUUUAAUCAUUUAAUUUACAGAUUUCCUAUGCCACCAAAUUAUCAAACUUCCAUGCAAGGUUCCUAAUUAAUAAAUGCAAAAAUUAGAAAACACAUGGUCUGCUUCCCAAACUAUGUUGAUCCAUGAACAAGACGACUUUAUGUAGCAUGUAAGAAACCUAGUAAGAUUAGGCUUCUAAUCCUUGUUUUCCAAGAAUGAACUCACCCACCUAACCUAACUGUGAAAAACGACAUGGCAGCAAUUCCCAUAUUCCCUUUAUAAGGUUGAGGUAGCCAGUCACGGAUGAAGACAACAAGCUUGAAAGCAAGAAGGAAACCAACAGCAACAGAGAGAUUGCCAAAGAAAGGUCUCGAAGUCAGCAAAUAUGGAGUACUCCAAUUUGCUCAUCCGUUUUAUGCUUCUUGCUGUCUGCCUCCUCCCCGCUUUGGUCGAGUGCAGGAUUCGGCAUUACAAGUUCAAUGUAAGUUAAAUGCUGUAGCAAGCUUCCAUGUGACGAAAGCCUGAACUGCUUGCGCUUUAGGUCAUUAGUCUCAUUCAUGUGACGAAAAUCUUCUUUGAAAUGCAUUUCGUUAUUAGAAGAUAGCCAUGUUUUGCACGAUGCAUUGCGCAUCAUGACACUGCCUUGGCUUAAAAUCAUGCAACUUUACCCAUAUCUUUUUCCUGACUAGUCCAUGAUUCAAAUGGAAAUCAUAGAGUUUCCACCUACCUAUAGCCACUAUUUUAAAUACCAGAAAAGUUUAUUCUCAUGCUUACUUUAUGGUUAAAUAAUUGCAGCAGAAAGCUCUCACUAUAUAUAUAUAUAUAUAUAUAUAUAUAUAUAUAUAUAUAUAUAUGUUCAAGAAACCAUUAAAAAAAUAUUAAAUAGGAAAAGGGUGGUAAGAUCUCAAAGCACUGUAGUGACAUAAUUUGUCACAACAAAUUAAACAAUAUGGACAGUUUAGCAUUUGAUGUAGAAAUGAGCUUAAAUAUUUCACCUAUCAUUUCAACAGGUGGUGAUGAAAAAUACUACCAGACUAUGCUCUAGGAAGCCGAUUGUUACCGUCAAUGGCCGCUUCCCAGGACCCACUCUGUAUGCCAGAGAACACGAUACAGUUCUUGUAAAAGUUGUUAACCAUGUCAAAUAUAAUGUUUCUAUUCACUGGUAAGCUAACGAAACAAACCCUGUAUAACAGUUAUACUUCAAUUCAUCAUGAAUGAUACCGAUGCGGAUUUUUCUUGGUAUUCUGCAGGCAUGGCAUUAGGCAACUAAGAACGGGCUGGGCUGAUGGACCAGCAUACAUUACACAAUGCCCCAUUCAGCCAGGGCAAAGCUAUGUCUACAAUUUCACAAUCACUGGUCAGAGGGGCACACUUCUUUGGCACGCACAUAUUCUCUGGCUAAGGGCCACAGUUCAUGGUGCCCUGGUUGUCUUGCCUAAACGCGGCAUCCCCUACCCAUUCCCAGCUCCUCAUAAAGAAGUGCUUGUUGUAUUAGGUGAGCAGGAUACAUAAUAGCUAUUUCUUUCACUAAAACUUUUGAAAUUCUGUGCAUUCCGCCAUAAUUCAAAUCUUUAAGGUUCAUGGUUAUUAAAUAUGUAACCUGAGACUAAGGUGGUGACGUGAAAUUGCAGCUGAAUGGUGGAAAUCAGAUACUGAAGCUGUGAUCAACGAGGCUCUUAAAUCUGGAUUAGCUCCAAAUGUCUCUGAUGCUCACACAAUUAACGGCCAUCCAGGAGCUGUCUCAGCUUGUUCUUCACAGGGUAUUCAACUAAGAUUAAUGACCAUAAGAUAUACCUGUGAGUUCUGGCUCUCAAUGCUUGCUUUCUAAUAGAGGUCUGAUACAGAAAGAUUUUUGGAUUCAUGCAGGCGGUUUCACAUUGCCAGUCAAAAGUGGCGAGACCUACAUGCUACGGUUGAUCAAUGCUGCACUCAAUGAAGAGCUCUUCUUCAAAAUUGCAGGGCAUAAGCUUACAGUCGUCGAAGUGGAUGCCACCUAUGUUAAACCAUUCAAAACCGAUACAGUCCUAAUUGCCCCAGGCCAGACCACCAAUGUCCUUGUCACAGCUAACAAAAAUACAGGCAAGUACUUGGUUGCUGCCUCCCCGUUCAUGGAUGCUCCAAUUGCUGUGGACAACAUGACAGCAACAGCCACUUUGCAGUAUUCAGGAGCACUUGCUAACUCCCCUACAACUCUCACCACCCCACCUCCAAAGAAUGCCACUGCAGUUGCCAACCAAUUUACCAACUCUCUACGCAGCCUUAACUCAAGAAGAUUUCCUGCCAAAGUCCCAUUGAACGUUGAUCACAACCUUUUCUUUACAGUUGGUCUAGGAGUUAACCCAUGUCCAAGUUGCAAAGCUGGUAAUGGCAGCAGGGUUGUUGCUAGUAUUAACAAUGUCACAUUUGUGAUGCCAACCACUGCCCUGCUCCAAGCACAUUUCCUCAACAUCAGCGGUGUGUUCACCACUGAUUUUCCUGCAAAGCCACCGCAUGUUUUCAAUUACACUGGCACUCCACCUACAAAUUUACAGACCAAAAGUGGAACUAAAGUUUAUAGGCUGAGCUACAACUCGACAGUCCAACUUGUUAUGCAAGAUACUGGGAUCAUAUCCCCUGAGAACCAUCCGAUCCAUUUACAUGGAUUCAAUUUCUUUGCUGUCGGUAGGGGAGUAGGGAAUUACAAUCCGAAGACUGAUACUAAGAAAUUUAACCUCGUUGAUCCUGUUGAACGGAACACAAUUGGAGUACCUUCUGGUGGAUGGGUGGCGAUAAGAUUUCGCGCCGAUAAUCCAGGUAAUUGCUGUUUAAUGUUUUCGUUUGGAAGUACAGAGCUUGGCAUUUUCAAGUUUGUUUAAUUUCAUGUUCUCUGAUUUUCUUCUUCGCAUCUCUUGUAGGAGUUUGGUUCAUGCAUUGCCAUCUAGAGGUGCACACUACAUGGGGACUUAAGAUGGCGUUCUUGGUAGACAAUGGCAAAGGCCCUAAGGAGUCUCUUCUACCGCCGCCAAGCGACCUUCCAAAAUGUUGAAGUCAGAUCAAGAACUAUACUAACUCGAGGGAUAGAAGCCAUACUUUAUCAGGAAACUUGGUCCCGGUAGAAACAUUCUAUGAUCGAAGAGAGCAGAGUGUGUAUAUAUAUAAUUUGAGGGUUUAAGAUCCGAUUUGUUUCUUGAGUGAAUUGGAAGAUUUGCUCAAGCGAGUUUUAAUAAAAUUUUGUGAGCGGUAGAGCUGUUUCAAUUCAAAUGUUAUUUUUUCUUGAAUAAAUAUAUCUAUUGAAGAUUUGAUCACGAAGCCAUUCAUGAUCAAUAAAACUUGUAUGUUCUAUAUAUGUUCAUGUGUCGGGUCGGAUUAGACCUAGAUCAGGCCCGAUUAAUUUUUCUAAGCUAUAUUGACCCGAGUCUAGUCAGAAUCGAUACUUGGGCUUUCAAGCCCUUCAAGAAAUUAAAAAAUGAAAGCAAAUAAUAAAUGCUAGAGUUCGAUUAGAACUAGUCUUUUCAUUUUUCAACAAGUAUCAAAAUUGUUAACGACCAAGGAAGCAAAGUUUUAGCACCGUGAAACAAAUAUUUAUAUAUAUAUCACGGCAAUGAUUAGAAAUUCUAGCAAUGAUUGCAUUUCUUAGACCCAAAAGCUGUAUGUUUUUAAAUAUUUUUUAUAGGGUAAUGUUAAAAAUUAUUAUUUUGAUAUAUUUUAAAAUAAAAAAUAAUUUUAAAAAUAAUUUUUAUCAUAUUCUUAAAUAAAUAUUAGGUGAAAAGAGAAAGAAAGGGAAAAAUAUAAACUGAAGCAUGGAGUGACUAGUAACUUAAUUUUGUAGUUUAUUAAAAUAAAUUAAUUAAUUAUAGUUGUAACUAUAUAUUUACUCUCUUUGUUUUUAAAACCAUUUAUAACUUAAUAUUUUUCAUCUAUUAUAUGUUGUUCUUCUAAUUUAUUUAUUUUUUGUUUUAAAAACAAAAAAAAAAGAAAAAGAUAAAAUAAGAAGAUUGAUAAAAUAAAAGAUACCUUCAUUUUUUUUUCAAAUAUGCUAUAGCUAAAAUUGGUUAGGAAAAUAGUGUAGCUGCAGAUAUAUUGACACUGUUCACUAGAACAUUCUAAUGAAGUGAACGUUCUAAUGACGUCUUUGUCUUUUCCAUCAAAAAACUUAUAACUAGUUACUUGGGACAUCAAAGUCUUUUGAUGAGGCACAUUAGUCAUUUCUAAAUUGACUAGGGGAAAUUAUGUCUUUUCCAAUUUAAAAAAUACAGUGAAAUUUCUAAAAUGCUCUUUUAAAAGCAAAAAUCUCAAUAUUGGCAUCAAAGGACAAUUUGAUACUUUUAAAAUGGUUUUUUUUUGUUAUUAUCAUGUAAGAUGAGAAUCAAAAAUAUAUUGAAACGAUUGAAAUGUCCAUAGAAGUCAAAAAAUAAAAUAAAAAUGAUCUUAAAGGGCUUUUUCCAAAGGUUUUUUCAUUAUUAACAUGUAAAAUCAUGGGUGAUUUGAUAUUUGAAUAAAACAAAAUUCAGGCAUAUGUACGACACCAUGAGGCACGCGGGAGGCGCCAACACACUAUGGAUGACGUGUGUGACGCCUUCCAUUGUCCAAAAAUACCCUUUCAUCAUGUCAUUGGAAGCACUGUCGUGUUUUGUUUCCUGUUGGUAUGAUACAUGUCUUUGGUGGUGAUUCAGUUUGUCGUCGAAAGGACUUUCUAUUCUAUUCUUUUUCCUUCUCUUCUCUCUUCUCCCUUAAAAAAUAUAGUUUGCCCUUUUUGUUCUUGAUGUUUCAACUUCAAUAAUUAUUCUUUUGAUUUUUAAUUUUUGUUCCGGGCUCUUUUAUAGAAAUCUUAUUUGUUUUUAAUUUCAUUCUUCAAUCACAAUUCACUAAAUAUCAUAUUCUUUAAUUUGGUCAUUCUUUUGAUUUAUAAUUUUUGUGUAGCCUUAACAAAUAAGGUGUACCUUGCAAAAAUUGGAGCUCUGUUACCGCCUCUCGUGUGUCCAUGUAAAAUAAAGAAACCACUAACUUUUGAAUCCUAAUGAAACAUGGGAACCUUGCCAAUUAAUAACUCUAAUUAUGUCGCCUCAAAUGUCCUUGUAGAAUAAGGAAGUCACUUUAUAGGAAAUCUAUAAGUUAGAAGGAAAGAUAAUCCUAAACCAACUAGGAAACUAAUGCAAUUCCCGCAUAGUACUUUCUAGUUUUUAUCUCAAGGUCUUUCUAAACUCCGAUUGAUAUUUAAUUUUAACCCUAUAAAAAUAAGAUCUGUGAAAUCUUUUGGUAAAAUAUCAAUUCGAUCCAACAUUCAGAUUGAAAAUUAUGAUUGUUAGGGUAAAACUGUAUAUUAGAAGAAAACAAAUGCCCAAAAUUACCUCUCCUUACCCAACCCUUUCAUGGACCACAUUGAUCAAAGCUUAGUCACCCCUUCUUGAAAUUUUGAAACUUGACUUGACCAAAAUAUCUUAAAUAAGCCCAUCGAAUACCUUUUCAAUCUUCUUGGUCGAAUAAUGCAAGGUCAAAAUCUUUGGCUUCUCCUUCCUCAUUCUCAUCAACCAUCUCAUCGAUGAUCCUACACCUCACCAAACAUCACAUUCAUCCUCUCAAAUUGUUGUUCUAUACCCCUAACAAAAAUAAGAUGUUCUCCUCCUCCUUUUUAGAGGAUGCUCCGUCUUUGGAAGACAUUGUCAAAUUUAAAAUUUUACGUUAGCAAUAAAAAACAAUUAUCAUCAUUUACUCCCUUACGUGUUUACACUCAAUAAUCAACGGGUUAUGGUCGUUCAUCCAUUAGCUUCGAUUCUUUGGUUCAAGGUAUUCACUAUAUCAAGUUUUUAUCUUCAAUUCGAUUUGUCUUUUUGGGUUGUAUUUUUUCUUGUUUAUGAGUUCACAUCACAAGAAACUAUUUUAUAAUAAACUCAAACCUAGGCUCAAGCCACAUCAUGUCAACGCGUACUUGCAUAUUCAAAACCCACUUUACUUAUGUCAUUUUCCCUCUAAAAAAUUAGGUUCCUAUUGGUCUCAAUAUUAACUCUUCACCUUCUCACUAAAUAAGCCACAAGAAAAACUUAUUUCUUUCUAAUGUGGGAUAGAGUUUUUAGAAGGCUUUGGGUUUCACUAAAAUAUAUGAAUCAAUGGUUAUUUGAGAAUAAUUUUUUAUUCAUCCACAAUUUAUUUAAAUCAUAUUAGUAGUAUAUGUUAAAGAGCUUAUGUUGGAGAUUAAAUUCCAACACAGUUUUAACCCCAAAAGUGAAUGGAUCCACUUUUAAUUUGGCAUCAAAUAUUUUCAUUAACCAUGUUCCUAGACAAAAUUUGCAACAAAAUAUCCUCCUAACAAAGCAGAAUGUUUUUGUUACAAUACUAAUGUCAGUAAAAAUGAGUAACGGAUGUUGAUGUAUUUAGAUAUAACUAGUUUAUUUCCUACACUAUCGUUGUGGGUUGUAUGAAAUUUUUUUGGAAUAUAAGAAAACAAUAUAUAAAUUAUAUAAAACUUUUUUGCAUUGUUAUUAAACUAAGUACAAUGGUUCAAACUUGACAACUCUCAACAUGACUAUUUGUUUAGCCCAAGUUUUAAAUUAAAUCAUAUGAAAGUUGCCGUUAUGUGACCUUGUUUAUUGGGUAAGUGCAAAGAAAAACAAGGAGCAUGUCAGGUUAAACAUAAUCAACCCGCCAAAACCGUGACAGAAGUUAUAGGCUCUACUAGGUCAAAUUAUUUUUUAUUUUAUUUUAUUAUAUAAUAAAAAAAUAUAAAAUUUGAUUUACCAUUAACCCAAUAACCCAAUACUACAAAAUAAAAUUAAAGAAAAACCUCACAUUAAAGGAAUAAAAAAUAAAUAAAUAUGACAAAAAAUACUCAAAUGGUGUGUUACGAUAAAGCCAAACACGUGGGCUUGGGGAGGCCCACAGACGUGGCCCGUACACCUUUUUUUUAUUUGAAAAAAAAAAUCAACAUUCUCAUUUUUUAUUUGAAAAAAUAUAUUGCUGUCAGUAGGAAUCGAACCCAACACCUAUCUGCUUACUUACAACCACUUGAAUUAUGAAACGAACUACGAACUUGUUAACUAAGCUGUUAAAAUAUAUCAACUUAAUUUGAAUAAUUAAGUCAAAUCAAGUCAUUUAGUUGUUUCCUUUUUACUAUUAGAUUUGAAAUCAAUGGUUUUAACAAACCAGCAUUUUAGACUUUCCCAAAACAGACGUAUGCGCAAAAACAUUGAAUUGAAUUGAAAAUAUUGAUCUGAUCAUGCAUGGAUUUUCAUAUAAAAAAAACACAUCACCGUGGAAAGGACCUGGUGAGCAUUCAUCAGUAGAAUUCAGAGUCGCAAGUAAUCCUGGGACAUCCUUUACAAGGACUACAAGUAAUGCCUUGAAAAAGAGAGUUCGGCCUACCCAACUUGUAACCCGUAUUGUUCUUACAUCUACGAAGAGCACUACGUCGUAAAAAAGAGUAACAAAAUAAAAUAAACUCUAAGGCAACCAAAUGAAAAUGGUGAUUAAUUAAGGUGACUUGUCUGUUGCUGAUCAAUUGACCUCAUGUUCUUUUACUCUAUUUUUAUAUUGUUGUGAACCUACUUGAGUAAAAAGGACGACAAGAGAAUGUUUUCAGGAUUAAUAUGUAGGAAGUGGGUGCCAAAUUUAAUCAUUUAAUUUACAGAUAUCCUAUGCCAAGAAAUUAUCAAACUUCCAUGCAAGGUUCCUAAUUAAUAAAUGCAAAAAUUAGAAAACACAUGUUCUGCUUCCCAAUCUAUGUUGAUCCAUGAACAAGAAGACUUUAUGUAGCAUGUAAGAAACCUAGUAAGAUUAGGCUUCUAAUCCUUGUUUUCCAAGAAUGAACUCACCCACCUAACCUAACUGUGAAAAACGACAUGGCAGCAAUUCCCAUAUUCCCUUUAUAAGGUUGAGGUAGCCAGUCACGGAUGAAGACAACAAGCUUGAAAGCAAGAAGGAAACCAACAGCAACAGAGAGAUUGCCAAAGAAAGGUCUCGAAGUCAGCAAAUAUGGAGUACUCCAAUUGGCUCAUCCGUUUUAUGCUUCUUGCUGUCUGCCUCCUCCCUGCUUUGGUCGAGUGCAGGAUUCGGCAUUACAAGUUCAAUGUAAGUUAAAUGCUGUAGCAAGCUUCCAUGUGACGAAAGCGUGAACUGCUUGAGCUUUCGGUCAUUAGUCUCAUUCAUGUGACGAAAAUCUUCUUUGAAAUGCAUUUCGUUAUUAGAAGAUAGCCAUGUUUUGCACGAUGCAUUGCACAUCAUGACACUGCCUUGGCUUAAAAUCAUGCAACUUUACCCAUAUCUUUUUCCUGACUAGUCCAUGAUUCAAAUGGAAAUCAUAGAGUUUCCACCUACCUAUAGCCACUAUUUUAAAUACCAGAAAAGUUUAUUCUCAUGCUUACUUUAUGGUUAAAUAAUUGCAGCAGAAAGCUCUCACUAUAUAUAUAUAUAUAUAUAUAUAUAUAUGUUCAAGAAACCAUUAAAAAAAUAUUAAAUAGGAAAAGGGUGGUAAGAUCUCAAAGCACUGUAGUGACAUAAUUUGUCACAACAAAUUAAACAAUAUGGACAGUUUAGCAGUCAUGACCUUUGAAUUAUAUACAUUUGAUGUAGAAAUGAGCUUAAAUAUUUCACCUAUCAUUUCAACAGGUGGUGAUGAAAAAUACUACCAGACUAUGCUCUAGGAAGCCGAUUGUUACCGUCAAUGGCCGCUUCCCAGGACCCACUCUGUAUGCCAGAGAACACGAUACAGUUCUUGUAAAAGUUGUUAACCAUGUCAAAUAUAAUGUUUCUAUUCACUGGUAAGCUAACGAAACAAACCCCGUAUAACAGUUAUACUUCAAUUGAUCAUGAAUGAUACCGAUGCGGAUUUUUCUUGGUAUUCGGCAGGCAUGGCAUUAGGCAACUAAGAACGGGCUGGGCUGAUGGACCAGCAUACAUUACACAAUGCCCCAUUCAGCCAGGGCAAAGCUAUGUCUACAAUUUCACAAUCACUGGUCAGAGGGGCACACUUCUUUGGCACGCACAUAUUCUCUGGCUAAGGGCCACAGUUCAUGGUGCCAUGGUUGUCUUGCCUAAACGCGGCAUCCCCUACCCAUUCCCAGCUCCUCAUAAAGAAGUGGUUGUUGUAUUAGGUGAGCACGAUACAUAAUAGUUAUUUCUUUCACUAAAACUUUUGAAAUUAUGUGCAUUCCGACCAUAAUUCAAUGCUUUAAGGUUCAUGUUUAUUAAAUAUGUAACCUGAGACUAAUGUGGUGACGUGAAAUUGCAGCUGAAUGGUGGAAAUCAGAUACUGAAGCUGUGAUCAACGAGGCUCUUAAAUCUGGAUUAGCUCCAAAUGUCUCUGAUGCUCACACAAUUAACGGCCAUCCAGGAGCUGUCUCAGCUUGUUCUUCACAGGGUAUUCAACUAAGAUUAAUGACCAUAAGAUAUACCUGAGAGUUCUGGCUCUCAAUGCUUGCUUUCUAAUAAAGGUCUGAUACAGAAAGAUUUUUGGAUUCAUGCAGGCGGUUUCACAUUGCCAGUCAAAAGUGGCGAGACCUACAUGCUACGGUUGAUCAAUGCUGCACUCAAUGAAGAGCUCUUCUUCAAAAUUGCAGGGCACAAGCUUACAGUCGUCGAAGUUGAUGCCACCUAUGUUAAACCAUUCAAAACCGAUACAGUCCUAAUUGCCCCAGGCCAGACCACCAAUGUCCUUGUCACAACUAACAAAAAUACAGGCAAGUACUUGGUUGCUGCCUCCCCGUUCAUGGAUGCUCCAAUUGCUGUGGACAACAUGACAGCA